RNAcentral lists this long non-coding RNA (1278 nucleotides) under Scophthalmus maximus (turbot). RNAcentral describes it as "lncRNA (ENSSMAG00000024510.1)". The record is from RNAcentral. Lineage: Eukaryota; Metazoa; Chordata; Actinopteri; Pleuronectiformes; Scophthalmidae.
AGACAAAAGCACUUGUACACCGCUUGGCCCGAGAUGUCAAACGGCUCGUGACUUGCCACGUUAAUCUCGUGACCAGAGUUGCUGCUGUAGCCAUGUGUGAGGGAUUAUGCUCCUCUCAAUCCGUCCUCAUCCUGCAGCUCAACCUCACACCUGAAGGAGUGGGCUCUCCACUUUCACUCUGCUGCAGGUAGUGACCCGUCUUCUCGUUGGUGCACAGCACCCACAGCCAGUGAGCAGAAGAGCGGCUCACAUCUUCUGAUUCCUUUCUUCUUCUUCUUCUUUCUUCCCCACCGCUGGAUUAGAGAGCAGCUCGAGGAUGUUCUCCUGCCCGUCUCCUGCGUCAGGAGGCAGGUAACUGGGAUUACGAGCGGCGGCGAUGUUCCUGCUCAGGAAGGAGGUCUCAGCGACAUGAUCCCUGGAAAGAAUCGGCAUGACAUGAACGCGUGGUGAAAGUCCAACCGCUGGAGAACCGACCGGAGAGACGACGCUGGAGCGGACAUGGGGUGAGCGACAUGCUUCGCCCACUACUGUUCCGCUGGCCAGGAAGGAACCCACGUUCUCAAAAUGUAUCCGUUGAAUUGUUCAUGGAUCUUAGCUGGAAAAUGAAUCAGGCAUAUUGAAAAGACGGACAUCCUGGGAGUUAGUGCAAUGUGGGGCAGCUUGUUUUGAAAUUGAAGGCGCCUGUUGGGCCUUGGCUGGGUUUCCCGGUUGUUUCUUCCAUACACGUGUUCACAGAUUGGUAACUCUGGGCCCGUUUGGCCUGUAAACAUGUCACACAUAGAAAGCACGGGAGCUGCAGUUCUUCUGGAUUGACAGUACCACGACAUGUUGUCACUUGGAAUCUCGACUGUGUCAAGGCUUUCACGAACUCAGUGACUUGGAGGAAGAGAGCGAUUAAGCGUGAGAGCAGAGGAAGGGAAGACUGUGGAGAUCCUAGGUAACAGGCGACCGAGCUCCCCAGUUCACUUGUGUUUUGUUCACGGGGUCCAGUGGGGAAGGGAUGUCGAUGUGCCAUCCAGCGGCUAACGCAUCCGGCAUCUGUGUAUUCACUGCAUGUCAUAGGAAAUAUACCCCUGAGCAUCGGUUGAUCACCCGGUGACACUAGUGCGCUGUGGUCUACAAUGAUGACCAUGCACAUUCAAGUCUUCUAAUAAUCGUGAGCACCAUUCACUCGUCAAACUUUCACCGCAAUUCGGCCGCGGACAUGUGUUCAAUGGUGGUGGUGUGAAAGAGACGAGAGAGGUUCAGCGGGCCGUUCACGGAGCUUUCUGCUAAUCC